GAUGAACGCUGGCGGCGUGCCUAAUACAUGCAAGUCGAGCGAACGGACGAGAAGCUUGCUUCUCUGAUGUUAGCGGCGGACGGGUGAGUAACACGUGGAUAACCUACCUAUAAGACUGGGAUAACUUCGGGAAACCGGAGCUAAUACCGGAUAAUAUUUUGAACCGCAUGGUUCAAAAGUGAAAGACGGUCUUGCUGUCACUUAUAGAUGGAUCCGCGCUGCAUUAGCUAGUUGGUAAGGUAACGGCUUACCAAGGCAACGAUGCAUAGCCGACCUGAGAGGUUGAUCGGCCACCCUGGAACUGAGACACGGUCCAGACUCCUACGGGAGGCAGCAGUAGGGAAUCUUCCGCAAUGGGCGAAAGCCUGACGGAGCAACGCCGCGUGAGUGAUGAAGGUCUUCGGAUCGUAAAACUCUGUUAUUAGGGAAGAACAUAUGUGUAAGUAACUGUGCACAUCUUGACGGUACCUAAUCAGAAAGCCACGGCUAACUACGUG
This 497-nucleotide ribosomal RNA is filed under the name uncultured bacterium. RNAcentral's name for it is "partial 16S ribosomal RNA". It matches the Rfam family "Bacterial small subunit ribosomal RNA", at positions 28 to 507 of the family's 1533-position model. The record is from RNAcentral.